RNAcentral lists this transfer RNA (73 nucleotides) under Canis lupus dingo (dingo). It matches the Rfam family "tRNA". Rfam says of the family: Transfer RNA (tRNA) molecules are approximately 80 nucleotides in length. Lineage: Eukaryota; Metazoa; Chordata; Mammalia; Carnivora; Canidae. The record is from Rfam by way of RNAcentral.
ACUUGGCUGGCUCAGUUGGUGGAGCAUGAGACUCUUGAUCUUAGGGUUGUGGGUUCAAGCCCCAUGUUGGAUG